AGCCGCACCACGCGGCUCGGCCCCAUGCUGGCGCUCCAGCCAGGGUGCUGGGUUGGGGCCAGCACCCGCUCCGACUCCUACGCACUCCAAUGGGAGCUGCAGGGGCAGUGCCUGUGAAUGGGGCAGCGUGCAGAACUGCCUGGCUGCAUCUUCGCAUAGGAGCCAGAGAAGGGAUAUGCCACUGCUUCCAGGAGCUGCUUGAGAUGGGGCAACCACAUCUGCACGCAGUAUUCAAGAUGUGGGCGUACCAUGGAUUUAUAUAGAGACGGGCAUGAGACCUUCCACGCUAGCGUGUGCAGAAACACACCGUCACCAGCAAACCUUUGUGAUUCACACAACGGGACCCAGGUUCUUUGGUACAGCCUGGGUGUUCUGAGAACAGGGCAGUGAAUAGGCCUACAUUGAUGCCGCAGUAAGAACUCUGGGACUAGAAAAAAACGAACAAAGGAAUUAAAAGUCAUGCAUUAUGGCUGCAAAAUCAGAACCCCAGCUCCGCUGCUUCCCACCGUCACAUUACAGAAAAUAAAAACUGCCAUUGAAAAGGCACUAAAACACUAAUUACUGGGCAUGAUCAUUCAAUAAGUACAAUAAGGAACCAAUUUUUAGCUACUGGGGCAUAUGUUCCCCACCCCAACAUAGUGCAGAAAAGAGCAAAGCUACAGAAAGUAUCUGGAAAACAAGAUGGGGAUCCAUGCCUCUCCUGCCUGCGUUGUUGUUUGCAGUCUUCUCUGUGUAACAAAGUCAGUUUUUGAUAUGGAAUAAGGAGGUAUGCACAGCAGAAGGGAGCUCAGGGCUCAUGCAGUUGUACAUGGCAAAUACUCCACUCAGUAAAUUUAUGCUAGGAACUGAACCUCAGAAAAGCAGUGGUUUCCCUUCUCAGUAGUAACUUUCCCUUCUAAAUAGUCACAUCAAAUCUAUCAGAGGAGGAUGGGGGUAACCAACAGCAACACAGGAUCCAACCAAGCACUCAGGAUGGUGCCCAGUAGUCCAGCUGUUACACAGGAAUGCCUGAGAUAGUGGGGAGCUUGGGUCCAGACUUUGCGUGCUAAACAGUCUGCAGGCUGUCUUGCUGAUACUGCAUCACCAAUAGCCCUCACUGCAAAAGGGAAAACAGCAGGUGAAUUUCUCCACUUCCUGCGUUCAGGUGCCUUUUUAAGUCAGAUCUCCCUCCGCUGCAACUUUUCAUGCAUGACCCGCUAUCAAGAUAAGCUGCUGAUAUUCUUUUUAGAAAACAAGCCCAUGUUAAUAAUAAUAACCCCCGAGAUUAUUCAAAUGGAAAGCAUU
This is a long non-coding RNA of Malaclemys terrapin pileata, 1284 nucleotides long. RefSeq lists it as uncharacterized. NCBI's taxonomy places the organism in Eukaryota, Metazoa, Chordata, Testudines, Emydidae. The transcript is spliced from 3 exons. The record is from RefSeq and is a predicted model, not a curated record.